ACGGGAGGCAGCAGUGGGGAAUAUUGGUCAAUGGACGGAAGUCUGAACCAGCCAAGUCGUGUGAAGGGAGACGGUUCUAUGGAUUGUAAACUUCUUUUGCUCGAGGGUAAAGUGAGCCACGUGUGGCUUAUUGCAAGUAUCGAGUGAAUAAGCAUCGGCUAACUCCGUGCCAGCAGCCGCGGUAAUACGGAGGAUGCGAGCGUUAUCCGGAUUUAUUGGGUUUAAAGGGUGCGUAGGCGGGAUGUUAAGUCAGCGGUGAAAGUUUGCGGCUCAACCGUAAAAUUGCCGUUGAAACUGGCGUUCUUGAGUGUAAACGAGGUAGGCGGAAUGUAACGUGUGGCGGUGAAAUGCUUAGAUAUGUUACAGAACCCCGAUUGCGAAGGCAGCUUACCAGCAUACAACUGACGCUGAGGCACGAAAGCGUGGGUAUCAAACAGGAUUAGAUACCCUGGUA
This 454-nucleotide ribosomal RNA is filed under the name uncultured Porphyromonadaceae bacterium. RNAcentral describes it as "partial 16S ribosomal RNA". It matches the Rfam family "Bacterial small subunit ribosomal RNA", at positions 341 to 792 of the family's 1533-position model. Lineage: Bacteria; Pseudomonadati; Bacteroidota; Bacteroidia; Bacteroidales; Porphyromonadaceae. The record is from RNAcentral.